This 25-nucleotide non-coding RNA is filed under the name Drosophila melanogaster (fruit fly). The record is from RNAcentral. Lineage: Eukaryota; Metazoa; Arthropoda; Insecta; Diptera; Drosophilidae.
UAACCCGUUAACUAAGCCCCGUUUU